Molecule: long non-coding RNA, 1163 nt
Organism: Prosopis cineraria
Lineage: Eukaryota; Viridiplantae; Streptophyta; Magnoliopsida; Fabales; Fabaceae
Exons: 6
Source: RefSeq, a predicted model, not a curated record
UUACUUAUCGCAUCAUCUCGCCCCAAGAUUUUUUCAUCGUUCUUGACAUGAAAAAAUGCUGGGUUUUCAGACGGGAACCUAAAUGCUGGGUUUUCUUCUUCCCAACUCUCCGAUUCACAUCUAAAUUCCACUCUUGGUGUGAGCGUUUUUCUCUCCGUACGGGAGAGGGCUCCACCAUUUUGGGUGGUUUCUUUUUCAUCGAGGGUUUGAUGGCGACAAAGGGUUUAAGCAGCUCCUUUCGCCGAUUGCCAUUGUACGAGACAGGGUGGAUGCUUGGCUAAGGGGGUCUCGACUGAAUGAGAACCAAAAGGGUUCGGCACUGCUGAUGGGCGAUGAUUGGAAGCUGGCUCUGAUUCAUCCGAAGGGAGGAGAUGAUACUGGAAGGACUUCUUAAAUUACCAGAAAAUAAGGAGUGUGCUGAUUGCAAAGCUAAGCAGGCAUCUUUAUAUGCAUGUAGUGCUCAGGAAUACAUCGAAGUCUAGGAGUGCAUACAUCAAAGCUGGAUGAGCUUAGUGUAAGGAAGACUGGCUAUGAUGAUUAACUAGCCAUUGAUGGUAUAAAUCCUCAAGGACCCAUAUUAAGCACUAGUUUAUUUAAUUUGAUCAGAAGCCAUGACAUUACUGGGUUACUUGUGGAAAAUAAUUUCUCAGCAGACCCAAGCACUGGGCCAUUGCAUUGUGAUGAUGUAAUUUAUACCAACACCUCUAAAACCAUGCCUACAUUUUACACAGUUUUGUAGACAGUUGUCUUCCCUUAAAUGGUGGUCUCUCGGCAAAUAGCCUUCAUGAAUUGUUUCUUGACCAAUUUUGUGACGCCUACACUAGCUCAGGGAAAGAGAAACCUUUUGUUAGAGGUGGCAGGGAAGGACCAAUCUGAGAUAGAUGUGACCUUGGGUUCUUUGCUCUGUUUGAAUCAGGUAACUAACUAAUAAUAUCAUUCUUUUUAUUCUGUUUUGAUUAGGUGAAUUCAUAUAAUUUAAUAUUAUCUUCUUCAACCGUUGUUUAUUCAUGUUUACCCGUUCCAGCCAAAUUAUAUAUAUAUAUAUAUAUAUCUAAAUUUAAGAAUUUAGACUUUGUUGUUCAAGACAACGGGUAUUUAAUCUCGGGCAUUUAAUCUAUUUAGAAAGAAACAAAUGAGUAUAUGCAAAGGCAACAAAUGUAUCU